This is a long non-coding RNA of Cercocebus atys (sooty mangabey), 3173 nucleotides long. RefSeq lists it as uncharacterized. Lineage: Eukaryota; Metazoa; Chordata; Mammalia; Primates; Cercopithecidae. The record is from RefSeq and is a predicted model, not a curated record. The transcript is spliced from 3 exons.
AGAGAAGGAGAAACAGAGAGAGAAAAAAACAGAGAGAGAGAAAGAGAAACAGACAGAGAGAGAUCCUUUUGGGCUGGAAAAAUCAGGUAGGGCUUCAUAGAGGCCAGGAAUCUUUUAAUUGAAUGAUACUAACUUUCCCAAGAAACCAGCUGUGUUAGUUCUACCACAUUCUUGACUUCUGCUUCAGUGUGUGAUUUACAUAGCACUAGUGUGGCUGAUUGUUCACUGGUUAGAACACAAUCCUAAGUCUCAAGUUGAUUCUUAUGAUGAUUCAUCAUGUCCCUCAUACCUGCCUCUGAUCAACUCUUUUACAUGGUCAAUAUGGUAUGUUGGGGAGGAGUCAGGGGAGAAGAGGGUGUAGAGAGGUGAUUAAAACACAGAUCUGAUCCUGACACCUUCUUACUCAUGUUGUAAAGUCCAGGCCAGGAGGGAUGCCAGGACUAGCAUACUUUCCCAGCUUUCUGCCAGCCACUCCCUGCCAUGAACCCCAAACUUAAGCUACAUCAGACCUAUUGGGAUGCUGGUGGCCCUAAACUCUCAGUUUCUGUCUUGUGCUGAAUUUCUUUUACUUAAAAACUCUUUUUGCUAUUUUCCUGGUAAUCUUAUUCCUCAAAGGGUAGUUCAAAUGUCAUAGCCUAUAUGAAGAUUCUAGGACAAACACCUCCAAGGUGGAAGCUGUAUAGCUCCUUCAUCAGAAUUCUUAUAAUACUGUGUACAUACCUCAUUUACAAUUUUUGCCACAUAGUAUUCAAGUAAAUUGUAUGUCUCAAUAUUCCUGAAGAUUUUGGACAUCUGGAGAUUAGUGAAUAUGUUUUCAAUUCAUCUAGAUUUCCAGAUAUUUAUGGAGCAUCUACUGUGUGAUAAAGACACAAUUUCUGCCUUCAAGAGCUCACAGUCUACUGGGGAAGGAGAUGUAAGGGUUGGGUCACUGAAAAUUGCUUCUAGCACAGUGAGAAUUAUGUCCAAUUGAAGUCACAUAAACUAAUUCCAGUCAAGUUAGAAGCUCUGAUGCUGUCUGGAACUGAAACUCAGACAGAGCUCUGAAGGAAUCAGGCUUAUGGAGAGGCUAUCAUCCCACAAGAAUGCAGACCUCUGCCUGCUUCACUCCCUGCUGUGCUUCCACAUCUGGAGCAUGCAGUAGGACCUCAGAGAAUGUGUGCUGGAAGAGGGAACACUGAUCGGAAUUUGUCCUCUGAAUGUGCCCACUCACGCUGCAGUGUCAGCUCCUUGAGGACAGCAAUGUCAUCAGGCCUGUUGAUCCCUGGAUCAGCACCUAGAAGGGUUUGGCACAUGGUAGGUGCUCACUGACUGGCUGAUUACAACAGGACACAGCAGCAGGCCUUGAAGCUGGGAGUGAACCCCAAAUCCUACCUUCAAGCAGGAAGCCCUGCUCCUUUGUAUUAGGCGUGAAAUGGGGCCUGUGAAGGAGGCGGCAGGAGAGGGGGGGAAAUGUUGCCAUGGGUUCUUGUGUACACAGAAGACAGUGGCAUGGGAAGACGUGAGCAGGCAUAUCCAGGAAAUGAACAGAGGACUAAGGCUCAACCCUGAACCUGCUCUCUUAGGUGUCACACCCUCUCCCACUGGAAGCAGGUGAGCGGCUGCCAAGUUCCCUUGGAGAUAGAGGCCACAUGACCUCAACCUGGCCAAUCAGCAGAGCCCAUUCUCUUCAGCCAUAGUGAUUGGCUGAGGUCUGGGCACGUAACCAAUCCCGUGCAGAAGGUCAGAUCUCCAGGUUGGAACCCUGGGUGAAGAGAAGCUUAAUUUCUGUUAGGUUGCUGGAGUGGUUGGUGCCAUCUUGUCACCGUGAAGGGAAAGCCCACCCAAGAAUGACACCAACAUAGUGGGAAGUAAGCAGAGCCAAGAGGUUGGCAGAGGUGGUUCCUGGUGCCGUUAUCCAGCACCCAGCUACCGACCAGGUGAAGUUGGCCUUGCACAUAGUCGCUGGCACUGGAGUGACCCAUAGGUCACACACAAAAGUCUGCAGAGCAACUCCAGCUGUGCUCUUUCGUUUUCACAAUUAGCAACGUUUUUAUAGGUAGCAUUCUUGGUUAGCAUUCCUAGUUAGGAUUUGUAGCUAGAAAUUUACCAUGCAGCAGGGCCUUACGACCAUCUCUGCUGAUGAGGAGACCCUUACUGAUCAUUAUAGGCUCCUCGAGAUCGUCAGCCAGGACAGCUUCACCAAGGUGAAUGAAGUUCACCAAGUGCCUUCUCACUGGGACCAAGGUGGCUGUGGUCAUCCCAAAAGGGCAGCAGAACUCCUCCUCCCUCUAGAGUCUAUUCCAUGGGGUGACCCCAAGGUCAUCAGGCUCUUUCGACACCACAGACACUUUGUUCUUAGCCACGGAGUAUGCCAGCAGAGCAGAGCUGGUCCGCUACAUCCUAGAGUUGGGUUACAUGAAGGCAGAAGAGGCCUGAAGCAAAUUCCAGCAGAUAGUAUCAGCCCUCUAGUACCACCAACAGAAGGGGGAUAUCCAUAGGGACCUAAAGCCCAAGAAUUUCCUUGUGGUCCAUCACAACAUAAAAAUAACAGCCUUUGGAUUUGAUACCAGGUUCACUGUAGGCCAGAAGCUGGGCACCUUCGGUGGGAGUCCCUCUUAUGUGGUCCUGAACUCUUCCAUGGCCAAGCAUAUGAUGGGCCCCAGUGGACAUGUGAAGCUGGAAAGUCAUUCUUUAUACCACGGUAACCAGGGCCUGCCAUUUAUUGGGCAGACUUUGUGGAGCUGAGAAAGCUGAUACUGUGUGAACAAUUUUACAAGAUCCCACUCUUCGCUCUUCAUUUCCAGAGAGCUUCAUCAACCUAUUUUUGACUACAGGGAGAGGCCUAUACUAGACCACAUCAUGGAACACCUAUGGAUCAACACUGGUCAGGAGGAGACACGAAAGUCAUUCCAGGAGCUGCUUUCUGAUCACCAGGACUCCUGAAAGACAGAGCUCAUGGUGUCCAUGGGAUAUGAGACAGACCACAUCCAGUCCUUGUUAGAACAACAAUUUGAUGAUACCAUGGCCUGGUACUGAGUCCUGGGCUACAGGAAACUUGAUGCAGGGCUCCAUCAUCAGAGUGAAGUCUUUGCCUUCAGUGGAUCCCACCCAACAGUCACUAGCCUUUCCCAUCACCUGAAAGAAACUCUUAUGCUUUCACCUACAAAACUGGUUAAGAACAUUGGGAAAAGGUG